AAUAAGUUUCGGAGCAAUAAGUUUCUUACGAAGCGUGUCAGGACCUGACGGUAGCAGCACUAAGUAUGGAGCUUAUGUGCUCUUUUUUUUGUUUUUUUUA
RNAcentral lists this signal recognition particle RNA (100 nucleotides) under Lactococcus garvieae. Its description in RNAcentral is "signal recognition particle sRNA small type". It matches the Rfam family "Bacterial small signal recognition particle RNA". From Rfam's summary of the family: The signal recognition particle (SRP) is a universally conserved ribonucleoprotein involved in the co-translational targeting of proteins to membranes. Archaeal SRP consists of a 7S RNA and homologues of the eukaryotic SRP19 and SRP54 proteins. Lineage: Bacteria; Bacillati; Bacillota; Bacilli; Lactobacillales; Streptococcaceae. The record is from RNAcentral.